RNAcentral lists this non-coding RNA (93 nucleotides) under uncultured Ruminococcus sp. RNAcentral's name for it is "THF riboswitch". It matches the Rfam family "THF (Tetrahydrofolate) riboswitch aptamer". Rfam says of the family: THF riboswitch presents a pseudoknot that joins P1-P2 and the loop of P3 and two THF binding. The record is from RNAcentral. Lineage: Bacteria; Bacillati; Bacillota; Clostridia; Eubacteriales; Oscillospiraceae.
CAGAGUAAGGGAAUACGCGUAAAGUGCAUGCCGUACGGGGAGUUGACGCAUGACGAAGGGGUUGCCCGCGGUGUAUUCCUUGCAUCCCGCUGU